GCCUACGGGGGGCAGCAGUAGGGAAUUUUCGUCAAUGGGCGCAAGCCUGAACGAGCAAUGCCGCGUGAACGAGGAAGGUCUUCGGAUCGUAAAGUUCUGUUGAAGGGGAAAAAGAGCGGAGAGAGGAAAUGCUUUCUGAUUGAUAUUACCCUUCGAGGAAGUCACGGCUAACUACGUGCCGGCAGCCGCGGUAAUACGUAGGUGGCGAGCGUUAUCCGGAAUGAUUGGGCGUAAAGGGUGCGUAGGCGGCCUGCUAAGUCUGGAGUGAAAGGUACCGGCUCAACCGGUACAGGCUCUGGAAACUG
RNAcentral lists this ribosomal RNA (305 nucleotides) under uncultured bacterium. Its description in RNAcentral is "bacterial SSU rRNA". It matches the Rfam family "Bacterial small subunit ribosomal RNA", at positions 337 to 635 of the family's 1533-position model. The record is from RNAcentral.